UAAAUGUUUCAUGAUAAUGGGUUAGGUAAAUGUUUCAUGAUAAGAAUAUCAUGUCUUUUGUAUUAAAGAAUUAAAUGGAUGAAAUAUGAAGUUUUAUUAAAAGAAAAAAAAGGGGUGAAAAGAACAAAGUUUUGUCCAUCUUUGUUCAUCAUAGCUGAAAGUUAGAGAAGAGAAAGGAGAGGAGAAAGCUCUUGAGUAUUCGGUCAUUAGGAGGAGAAAAAUUGAAGGCGGUUUGUGUGCGGAUCUCGUCAGCAUAUCGUCGCAAACAGGUGUGUAACUAACACCCUCUUUCUUAGUCUGGAUCGGCAAAAGUCGAAAAGCCGAAAUGCCGAAAACCGGUAUUUUGUAGAUUUGCGAGUGUGCAAAUGCUCGUAAGGUAAAUCGAUUAAUGUUUUUGGUAAGCUGCAAAAUUUGGACUGCAAAGUGCAUGAUUUCUGUGCCAUCGAUAUUUUUGGGCUUAAUGGGCCAAAAUUGGAAUGAUGGGCCAACGGGCCCAAUUCGGUAAGAACCCU
Molecule: long non-coding RNA, 512 nt
Organism: Gossypium arboreum
Lineage: Eukaryota; Viridiplantae; Streptophyta; Magnoliopsida; Malvales; Malvaceae
Exons: 2
Source: RefSeq, a predicted model, not a curated record